CUGCCCUUGGGAGGGGAACAACAGCUGGAAACGGCUGCUAAUACCCCAUAGGCUGAGGAGCAAAAGGAGGAAUCCGCCCAAGGAGGGGCUCGCGUCUGAUUAGUUAGUUGGUGAGGCAAUGGCUUACCAAGGCGACGAUCAGUAGCUGGUCCGAGAGGAUGAUCAGCCACACUGGGACUGAGACACGGCCCAGACUCCUACGGGAGGCAGCAGUGGGGAAUUUUCCGCAAUGGGCGAAAGCCUGACGGAGCAAUGCCGCGUGAAGGCAGAAGGCCCACGGGUCAUGAACUUCUUUUCUCGGAGAAGAAAAAAUGACGGUAUCUGAGGAAUAAGCAUCGGCUAACUCUGUGCCAGCAGCCGCGGUAAGACAGAGGAUGCAAGCGUUAUCCGGAAUGAUUGGGCGUAAAGCGUCUGUA
RNAcentral lists this ribosomal RNA (416 nucleotides) under uncultured organism. Its description in RNAcentral is "bacterial SSU rRNA". It matches the Rfam family "Bacterial small subunit ribosomal RNA", at positions 126 to 573 of the family's 1533-position model. The record is from RNAcentral.